Molecule: ribosomal RNA, 1650 nt
Filed under: Triticum aestivum (bread wheat)
Lineage: Eukaryota; Viridiplantae; Streptophyta; Magnoliopsida; Poales; Poaceae
Description: partial small subunit ribosomal RNA
Source: RNAcentral
AUGAGGAAAAUCAAUGUCGACAAAUAUUUGAUAUCGGCAUUGGUGGAGCGUUGGCGGCCCGAGACAAACAGUUUUCACCUACCUGUAGGAGAAAUGACCAUUACGUUGCAAGAUGUCAGUUGUUUGUGGGGGUUGCCUAUCCAUGGUAAACCACUUGUAGGAAAAGCUGAUGCACAGUGGUCAGAAAUAUUUGAGAGUUUGCUUGGGAUUCCUAUGGAUGAACAACACAUGAAACAAAAGAAAAGGCGAAAAGGUGAUGAUAAUGUUGUUGUGAGGAAUUCACAAUACUCUCUAAAUCUGGGUAAACUGCGGGAACGCUUCCAUGUGUUGCCGGAUAAUCCAAUGGACAGGGAGAUUAAUUGGCAUGCCCGAGCACUUGUUCUAGAAAUUCUUGGCUCCAUAGUCUUUACUGAUACAUCUGGAGAUGGAGUGCCAGCUAUGUAUCUCCAAUUUAUGCAGGAUUUAGGACAACCAACAGAGUAUAAUUGGGGAGCAGCUGCUCUUGCUCUAUUGUAUAGACAAUUGAGCAUAGGUGCUGAGAAGGAGAGACUACAAAUUUCAGGUCCUUUAUUGCUGCUACAGUUAUGGUCUUGGUCCCGUUUGCCACUUGGUCGCCCUAAAGUUAUUUUUGAGAAGCCCAAAGAAGGAGAGGAACUUGAUGAAGAGGAAGAAGAACAAGAAGUACACUUGCAUUAUAACCCUGUUUUUGGAGCAAACUGGUGUGCUGCACAUUCGUUUGAUGUCCCUCAUAAUGCUGGUACUGAAUAUUAUCGAAAUCAGAUUGACUUGAUUCGAGAAGGUGCAGUUGGUUGGCAACCAUAUGAUGAUCUUCUGGAGCAGAUGCCUUUUGAAGUUCAUCAAGAUUCUAAUUGGUGGUUUGCUAGAGAACCACUCAUGCAUUUUUGGAUUGUGGAGUUCCACUAUCCAUAUAGGGUGAUGCGACAAUUUGGAUUAAGACAACCCAUUCCCCCUUCUCUUCCACGUGGCGAGGCAGAGGUUCGAAAACUUAGAAAAAUUAAACAUUCUGCAGGAAAAUCGCAUAAUUGGGAGGAAGUCCACGCCAAUUAUGUUCAAGAAUACAACCGUGUUGAUGCAAGAGUGUGGCCAGACGAUGUUCCCUUCGAUGAACCUAGUUUACCUGAUUACAGACAUUGGUUCCAACAAAAUGGUAUGUACACAGUAUUCUUCGAUUCUCAAUGCUUGGGCAGCCUAGAUAAACCUAUCCCAUAUCCUCGAGAUAGCAUCGAAUGGACUGGCUACAUGCCUAGUGGUCCGCCACUGGCUCAUAUUGGGUUACGCGAGAUAAAGAAUGCCGCAUGGGGUAUUAAAUGUGUUAUUACUAGUGGAUACAAGAAGAUAGGGAAAGCUAUACUGUGGUCCUGUGUAGGAAAUUUGUUGGAUUUUAACCUGGAGCCUAGGCUGCAAAGCAUGCUUACUGAGGCUAGGUUACCACUGAAUAUUGAAGAUAUUCCAUCUGAUGAAGAGGUUUCUGAUAUUGCUAACCCACCAAGCCCCCCAAAAGAGAGAAACUCCGAUGUGUUCAAUGAAUGGAUAUACUCCGGCAAAGGUUUUACAACAUACCUUAAGGCUGGUGAAGCGAUAAGAGAUGGGGAACCGACAACACAAGAUGUAGGUCAAGUUACCCAAUAA